Sus scrofa (pig) is the source of this 1938-nucleotide non-coding RNA. The record is from RefSeq and is a predicted model, not a curated record. NCBI's taxonomy places the organism in Eukaryota, Metazoa, Chordata, Mammalia, Artiodactyla, Suidae.
UAUUUGGGAGGGGGGCUCCCCGAACUGUGUGGGGAGCAGACGUGAAGGGCGGGUCUGAAGGACGCUGAGGUCAGAGUGGCUGGAGGGCCCUCAGCAAGGGGUGGGGUGUGGGAGAAAUGAGGUCGAUGAGACGAGCAGUGGGGCAGCUCCCCAAGGACUUCAAGGGCAGACAAGGACUCUGGGGGAGCCUUGGAGGAUUUUGAGUGAGCCAGUGACCCUGGUCCUCUAAGGCGUUCAAAAGGAAGGGCUGCUGCGUCUCUGGCGUCUCCCUCCUCGCGCAGGUGGAGGAGAGGUUUUCUGAUGUAAACUCUGAAACGAUGCUCUUCAGGACAUAGAGGGCGAGGCAUCAUUGCCUUGGGAUAGUCCACCAGGAGGACAAACCCCAGGCGACCCAGGAGGGCAGGUGAGCACCUGGUGAGGCAUGGCACCCCUGCCGAGGCCUGGCAGCCUGGUUCUCUGGAUAGUGGGAACCUCCGAGAAGCCCAGCAUCCUGACCCUGACCCUAACCCUAGCCCUGACCUAUGCUUGGGGCUGGGGAGGCCUCUUCCGGCUACCGAGCUCCCAAGACCCAGCCUGGGAAAGGGAGCCGCACUGCCUUCCUCUGCUUGGGCUGCCUUCUCCUCCUCUCCCUCCUCUCCCCUUCCUUCUCCAUGUCUUCCUGACCCAGGGAUUUUCCCUUUGUGCAGCCCGAAACCUGUGGAGGGUUGUUUCUCUGGGGCUUCAGGAGGAGCUCACGGAAGCCCCGCUUCACGUGAGCGAUUCUGUCAGUGAGACUGUCCGGGAGCAUCAGCUUCCAGCUGCUCAGCUGGCCUGGCGAGCAGGAUGACAAGCUGCGGAAACAUGACGAGGGCAAAACGGUCUGAACUUCCAGGAGCACGUGUGAACCCAGGCAGCAGGAGUGAAGUUUUCAUUGAGGACAACAUCCCGAAUGAAACACAGAAGCAAGCUAUUGCUACAGUGGCUCGAGGUCAUGACAUCCCAGAGUAAGGACAAGAGACAGAAAGGCUACCCUGCGGCGAAGCGUAAGCCUCUGGGAAAAGAGAACAGCUGUGAGAGAGAAGGAAACUGUACCCAGUAGACGCAUAUGGAGAAGGUGCCUAGAGGGGAACCUGCAGUACAUCCCAGCGCCAAUGAUUUAUAAAAACUCAAGGGGUAUUAAAGACCUUACUGAAAACCGGAAAACACAAUCGAGUCACAGAAUCACAUGCGGAGAAUUUUGCUGCAGCCUUAGGAGCAGUGAGAGGCCGAGAUGUCAGAUCAGAUCAAAGGCCUGAUGGCUUAUCAAGACAUAAAACAUCACCGCCUCUGUUUACGCAGCACCACUGAAGUUUCUAUGGAUCCCCCAAUCCCUCCCCACUUGCAAACCUCUGCUCAAAGUAUAGACUCCUCUGCUAGAGGAAGACGAAUGACCCCCGUGUAGCCCCUCAUAUAAACACCUGCCUUGUCUCAUUCCCCAUGCUGCUGGCUGGUAACUUCCUUAUACUCUCGCCCAUGUCCCAGCAGGACCAAAAGUGUCAAACCUACGUUGCCACAGCUAACCUAAGCACCUCCUAGAAUGAAGAGGGAAAUCACUGCUAAGAGUCAGUGCUGGCUGGUGCAGAUUCUGCAAGGUGAAGGGGCGUUGCUUGUCUCUGAGUGACACAGUGAAGCCACGUCACACCCAUGGGACGGUAGCAAAAGCUCUGCUCUUGCCUAAUCUCUUCAGAUUUUUCAUCCCAUGUGAAUGUAGACCUCUUUGGUCUUUUAAAUCAUCUGUUUUGGCAGUGUGUAAAAAUAAAACAAGUCGAAAUUCUGUGUCUCCCAUGAAAAAACAUAAUUUUAGCAGAGAGCCUUUGUAACUUAGGGCUUGUGGGGGUUUUAUUGUUGGUAAUUUCAAAGGCACUUGAUAUUCCCAUCUUGAAUAAUAAGGCAAACAGGACAAGCUCUUUACUAUUCCUC